UUUCAAAUAUAAAAGUAAUAUGAUUUUUGUAGUAAUCAGGACAGGCUAAAUAUUCACUAUAUUAAGACCAUACAUAAUGUCCCCAGAUGUAGUUCUUUCCCUGGGUCUGGUUUUAUAAAUGCUGGUGAUAAAU
Molecule: non-coding RNA, 133 nt
Organism: Ictidomys tridecemlineatus (thirteen-lined ground squirrel)
Lineage: Eukaryota; Metazoa; Chordata; Mammalia; Rodentia; Sciuridae
Source: Rfam